GUCUCCUACGGGGGGCAGCAGUAGGGAAUCUUCGGCAAUGGGCGAAAGCCUGACCGAGCAACGCCGCGUGAAUGAAGAAGGCCUUCGGGUUGUAAAAUUCUGUUAUAAGGGAAGAAAGGUGAUAGGAGGAAAUGACUAUCAAUUGACGGUACCUUAUGAGAAAGCCACGGCUAACUACGUGCCAGCAGCCGCGGUAAUACGUAGGUGGCGAGCGUUAUCCGGAAUGAUUGGGCGUAAAGGGUGCGCAGGCGGUCCUGCAAGUCUGGAGUGAAACGCAUGA
RNAcentral lists this ribosomal RNA (280 nucleotides) under uncultured bacterium. Its description in RNAcentral is "partial 16S ribosomal RNA". It matches the Rfam family "Bacterial small subunit ribosomal RNA", at positions 334 to 606 of the family's 1533-position model. The record is from RNAcentral.